GGAACAGAGGGUAACAGGUUAGACUAGAAAAUUUAGUUCCUCUCUGCUUUUAACCUGCCAGCUCCUAGUUUUUCUUUGGGAAAAUCACUCAGGCCCUCUGGGUUUGAAUUGCACUGUCUGUGCAACACUUCAUAGAGCAUUGGCCUCAAAGUUCUUUUCUAGCUGUAACAGCCUGCGAGUCUGUGAAACCAAUUGCUAACUGCACAGCAGACUGACUCCUAGAGAAUGUGCACAGCCCAGCAGCUCAGACCAUUACUACGGAAAGAAAGAAAAACAUCAUGGCUGCUGCUUCCUGCUCCUGAUAACCGAAUUGUGAGGAUGAUGGCAAUUCAUGGAGGAUGGCUGGGAAGUUAAUCAGCAGGGAGGAAUGAGGAAGAAAGCAGGGAGAACGUCCACGCCUUCCCAUAGCAAGGCUGAAAAUGAAGCUGCCAGAAAACAAGUAAGGAAAUAAAAAGACAAGUAAAGAGACCUAAGGAGUGGAGAAUACGGUUGUUAAAAGGAGUGGAGUGAGAAGGCCGUGGUUUGAAGACCUGAUAUGACUGGCAUGCAGAACGCUCCCGCUCCCCACAAGGCUGGCUGGCAUGUCUAUUGUCCACCGUGUGCUUUCGGGGGACUUGGAAUAUUUAGCUGGUUUGCCACCACUGCCCAGAGCCCCUGCCACUGAUAUGUGCGCAAGAAAACAAGAAGUAUAACAUUAGAUUUGGCAAAGCAUGAAAAGGAGGCAGAGCUGCUGCAGGAAGAAAAUUCAUCUAACACUUUAUAAAGUAAAACAAAUAAAUGUGAGUGUUCUGUUUCACAUCUCUGAUCGCUUCAUUCAUACGGAAAAUUCAAAAUUAUCUGCAAUGGACAUAUAUUCAGGGUGCCCAGUCUAGGCCAUUUCUUUAUCUA
RNAcentral lists this long non-coding RNA (888 nucleotides) under Homo sapiens (human). RNAcentral's name for it is "HSALNT0198860". The record is from RNAcentral. Lineage: Eukaryota; Metazoa; Chordata; Mammalia; Primates; Hominidae.